AAAUACUAUCUAAAUAUAUACCUUUAAUAAAAGGGGAAAUUACAUGUUUACCACUUUUAUGCUACCACUUUUCAUUUUUACCACCACUAAAGGGAUAUUUUCAAAAAUACAUUCUUCAAUAAGUGGCAAAAGACUCUUAUGCUCUUGUUCUUUAUAGAUAUAAUAAAUAAAUAUUUAUAUAAAUAAAAACCUAAAAAUAUUAAAAAUAUUUUUUUUAAUUUUUUUCCGAAUUAUACUAUUUCGAAAUCAAAACCCUAAACCCUAAAACUCAACUUUAAACCCUAAACCAUCAAUCCUAAACCUCUUUUUUGAAAUACGAACCCUAAACCCUAAACCAUCAAUCCUAAACCUUAUUUUUUUUGAAAUACGAACCCUAAACCCUGAAACAUCAACUCUAAACCCUAAACCUCAAAACCUCAACUCUAAACCUUAAACCCUAAACCUUCCUAAACCCUAAAGCAUCAACUCUAAACCCUAAACCCUAAACUUCGACUCUAAACCCUAAACCAUCAACACUGAACCCUAAACUGUCAAAAC
This 537-nucleotide long non-coding RNA is filed under the name Brassica napus (rape). RNAcentral's name for it is "long non-coding RNA (BNAP_LNC011127)". The record is from RNAcentral. Lineage: Eukaryota; Viridiplantae; Streptophyta; Magnoliopsida; Brassicales; Brassicaceae.